RNAcentral lists this ribosomal RNA (461 nucleotides) under uncultured bacterium. RNAcentral's name for it is "partial 16S ribosomal RNA". It matches the Rfam family "Bacterial small subunit ribosomal RNA", at positions 34 to 507 of the family's 1533-position model. The record is from RNAcentral.
CGCUGGCGGCGUGCUUAACACAUGCAAGUCGAACGGAAAGGCCCAAGCUUGCUUGGGUACUCGAGUGGCGAACGGGUGAGUAACACGUGGGUGAUCUGCCCUGCACUUCGGGAUAAGCCUGGGAAACUGGGUCUAAUACCGGAUAGGACCACUUCUUGGAUGUUGUGGUGGAAAGUUUUUUCGGUGUGGGAUGAGCUCGCGGCCUAUCAGCUUGUUGGUGGGGUAAUGGCCUACCAAGGCGUCGACGGGUAGCCGGCCUGAGAGGGUGUACGGCCACAUUGGGACUGAGAUACGGCCCAGACUCCUACGGGAGGCAGCAGUGGGGAAUAUUGCACAAUGGGCGCAAGCCUGAUGCAGCGACGCCGCGUGGGGGAUGACGGCCUUCGGGUUGUAAACUCCUUUCGCUAGGGACGAAGCGUUUUGUGACGGUACCUGGAGAAGAAGCACCGGCUAACUACGUG